UGGGGAAUAUUGGACAAUGGGGGCAACCCUGAUCCAGCCAUGCCGCGUGUGUGAAGAAGGCCUUCGGGUUGUAAAGCACUUUAAGUGGGGAGGAAGGCCUGGUGGCGAAUACCCAUCAGGAUUGACGUUACCCACAGAAUAAGCACCGGCUAACUCCGUGCCAGCAGCCGCGGUAAUACGGAGGGUGCAAGCGUUAAUCGGAAUUACUGGGCGUAAAGCGCACGUAGGUGGCUGAAUAAGUCGGAUGUGAAAGCCCUGGGCUCAACCUGGGAAUUGCAUUCGAUACUGUUCGGCUAGAGUACGGUAGAGGGAGGUAGAAUUCCUAGUGUAGCGGUGAAAUGCGUAGAUAUUAGGAGGAAUACCGGUGGCGAAGGCGGCCUCCUGGACUGAUACUGACACUGAGGUGCGAAAGCGUGGGGAGCAAACAGG
Molecule: ribosomal RNA, 429 nt
Filed under: uncultured bacterium
Lineage: Bacteria
Description: bacterial SSU rRNA
Rfam family: Bacterial small subunit ribosomal RNA
Source: RNAcentral